Molecule: long non-coding RNA, 7032 nt
Filed under: Chlamydomonas reinhardtii
Lineage: Eukaryota; Viridiplantae; Chlorophyta; Chlorophyceae; Chlamydomonadales; Chlamydomonadaceae
Description: long non-coding RNA (CREI_LNC001007)
Source: RNAcentral
GUACACUCCGUGACUCCGUUCGCACUAGCUAGCGCGUCCAGAUUCCCCUUCUGCCUAAAGCCUACCGUAUGUCUAAAGUCUUCAGCAGUAUUCUCCUCGCAUCGACCCCGCUCGCGCUCUCCAACCGUCCUAGGGAGCGUCGGACGUCCUCCAGCUCUGCUUAGCCACGUGCAGACGCAUUGUGUUUGAUAAAACAAGUGAUAUGAGUACGAAUAGUCAGUCACAGAAUGAGGGCGCCUAUAACUCUCCCUCGUCGGAGUUCACCGGCCCGACGUUACCGGCCCCGGGCGCGCCUGAAUCCGUGGAAGGUGAGCGGGGACAGGCGCGGGGGCGCCCUCAGCAUCGGCAGCGAGCAGGCACGCCCUCCGCACGCGGACUCAGCUGAGUAAGCCCCCCCCCUUAUGGGUGCGCCGCACCCCCGGGGCACGCUAACAGUCGUGGACGCCCUCGCGGCCUUCAACGUGCUGCUCGCCCUCCUACAAGCGUACUUCCCGUCGACGAAGGUUGUCGCGAUGAUUCUCCUCGGAGUUGCAGUGACAGGUGAAGCCACCCCAGGAGGGCAGGAUGGGCAGCACAACGUCACUGCUACUCCGAUUAGGAUCAUCGCGACAACCUUCGUCGACGGGAAGCACGCUUGAAGGAGGGCGAGCAGCACGUUGAAGGCCGCGAGGGUGUCCACGACUGUGAAAAGGGGAGGAUGCCGCUAAGCCAGCUUCUCGUGCGCUGGGCCUGAGGUGAAGCCGCAGAAUGACAGCGCCAGGUGCAGAAACCACGUGACAUCCUCUGCGCAGGUUGUGCGAAAUACGUUGGGCAUCGACUGUUCAGCUGCAUCGAAAGUGUCCCCGGUACUCACCCUUGCUGAACCAUCUCUGCUCUUCCCGCAGCGCCUGGAGCUCGGCGCGUAUUUCGGCCCUGAGUGCUGCCAGCUCCUCCUGGAACUGCUGCGGCUGCUGCGGCUGCUGCGGUACCGCGUCCAUUUCAGCAGUCGGAAUUAAGCAAAGUCUUUCGAGGAGUUAGUGCGUUUCCGGUUUGGUCAGCCGCAGACACUUGAUCCCACAAUUCCAGCGACUUUUGCGACCGGCUCUCCACCGACCGCUUGGAUGCUUGCGCCCGGUCGCUGCCCCAGCUACUUCCGCGGUGAAAUAACAACGGUGAGCACUCUCAACCACUGCGAGGACAGCCCUAGCAACCGCACUGCGUAAGAAGUACAGCAUCGAUUUGCUGCAUGUUGAUUUUGGCGCAAAUGGGGGGUGCAAGCAGUUUGUUUCUCUCAGACGCGAGCUAGCGCCCAAGCGCGCGAUAUGGGGGCGAGGAGCCACUAUGUAGCUGUAACGAUUGCAUGAGUGGCGAAUUUUACUUCGAGGGUCUAGGGUGCGAGCGGAGUGGGAUUACCCCCCGAGGGGCACGCCAUGCGCUCAGGCCCCAUGCAACAGAAAUUCGCCGGGCACCAACCCACGCACAGAUAAUUCAUAGGACUACACCAUAGCCAUCAGAGACCGGCCGGGAACAAGCCCCGCAAGCGGGGCAGCAUGGGCGCGACACCACCCUGCCGCGCCAACUCACCCCAAACACGCCCCAACCACUUGUGCGACACAAGGGCUACCAUACAGUAGCGCGCGACACCUAAUCGCGUGCGCCGGAGUGUGCGAGCAAACAUUGUACGGAGGAGCUCGUUUGGGCCCUAGGACGCAGGGCCUGGGCUGGCAUUUGGUGCAUUCAAUAGAGCAUAGAAAACCGAGGCCACAUAUGUGCUCGGGUGCGCAAAGGUCGGCGGAAUUGUGGGAUCAAGUGACGUGGAAAUGGAUCUGGGGGACUGCGGGGUUUUGGGGUGUGUUGGGUUGGUGGCGUGAAGGGUGUGAUUUGUGAGGAAUUUAUCGAUGCAUGCCAAGUUGCACGCCUUUCCCCUGUGUUUCCUACAUGCCCCUGAACCCUCCCUUUGCUGGCUGCAGGCGAAGCGACAAGUGGUACCGCUGGUACCACCCACGGGGGCCUUGUGCCCAAGCCGGGNNNNNNNNNNNNNNNNNNNNNNNNNNNNNNNNNNNNNNNNNNNNNNNNNNNNNNNNNNNNNNNNNNNNNNNNNNNNNNNNNNNNNNNNNNNNNNNNNNNNUGGUACUAUACACGUGGCGGUCAUCGACAUUGCUUUGUGCCGGCGCGCAGCACCCAGGAUGUGCGGCGAUCGCUGAAAUGCAGUUGUGGGGUCCACACUCAUAUGGCACCCACGCCCCACACAGCACUGAUGCAGGGCUCCUGCAGCCGUCACGCCAUGGGAAUCAGCAUAUGGGCAGUGGCCUGUGCAUACUUCUCUGUGGCCUGGCGGGGCAUCUGGCCAGGGCGUUUGACUAGCGGCAUGGGGCCUGCACGCCGGUAGGGGGGCGCAGGCCCAAAAUGAUGCAAGGAAGCUGAUGUGUUGCGUGAGGUGCGCAGCGGUUCCUGAUGGACGUGGGUGCUUUCAUGCGUAUGUAUAUUGGCUAUGUGUGUUGAUCUUUGCACCAGGGUGGUGUCGCCGCGCAGCGGAGCAUUGGUGUUGGUGCACGGGGCGUGAACAUUGGGGCCCGCAGUUGGGAUCGCGCCGGCACGGUCGCGGGCACCGCUGAAGAUAUGUUGGCGCGACCGGUCGCUUAUGGUGCACGCUAAUACCCGCAUACUGUGUGUAAGCACCGAUUGCAAUUAUAAGUUGCGCAUGUAGAUAUCGGUCUUCUCCCGACAUGCGCUCUGAUGACGGUUCCAUUUCCGCCAACUUAGGGUGAGAGUUAAGAGCCGGAGCCCUGUUGCCACCUGCAAAAUGCCUUAGCAACAUGUGGCAACUAUCUGCCCGAAGCAAGUUGCAAGCCAGCCCAGUUCAGGUUGCCACAUGCCAUGCUGGGUAUUCCCAGCGCGCUAGCGCACCUGCUUGGGCAGCUCGCUAUGGCUGCCGUCGACAGUUGACCCUGGUAUGCCAUCGCUAGAGUCGCAGCCCGCUCCGGCCAACCUCGCUCCUCCGCAACCGACACACGAACCCGACGUCACUUGAUCCCACAAUUCCAGCGACUUUUGCGACCGGCUCUCCACCGACCGCUUGGAUGCUUGCGCCCGGUCGCUGCCCCAGCUACUUCCGCGGUGAAAUAACAACGGUGAGCACUCUCAACCACUGCGAGGACAGCCCUAGCAACCGCACUGCGUAAGAAGUACAGCAUCGAUUUGCUGCAUGUUGAUUUUGGCGCAAAUGGGGGGUGCAAGCAGUUUGUUUCUCUCAGACGCGAGCUAGCGCCCAAGCGCGCGAUAUGGGGGCGAGGAGCCACUAUGUAGCUGUAACGAUUGCAUGAGUGGCGAAUUUUACUUCGAGGGUCUAGGGUGCGAGCGGAGUGGGAUUACCCCCCGAGGGGCACGCCAUGCGCUCAGGCCCCAUGCAACAGAAAUUCGCCGGGCACCAACCCACGCACAGAUAAUUCAUAGGACUACACCAUAGCCAUCAGAGACCGGCCGGGAACAAGCCCCGCAAGCGGGGCAGCAUGGGCGCGACACCACCCUGCCGCGCCAACUCACCCCAAACACGCCCCAACCACUUGUGCGACACAAGGGCUACCAUACAGUAGCGCGCGACACCUAAUCGCGUGCGCCGGAGUGUGCGAGCAAACAUUGUACGGAGGAGCUCGUUUGGGCCCUAGGACGCAGGGCCUGGGCUGGCAUUUGGUGCAUUCAAUAGAGCAUAGAAAACCGAGGCCACAUAUGUGCUCGGGUGCGCAAAGGUCGGCGGAAUUGUGGGAUCAAGUGACGUGGAAAUGGAUCUGGGGGACUGCGGGGUUUUGGGGUGUGUUGGGUUGGUGGCGUGAAGGGUGUGAUUUGUGAGGAAUUUAUCGAUGCAUGCCAAGUUGCACGCCUUUCCCCUGUGUUUCCUACAUGCCCCUGAACCCUCCCUUUGCUGGCUGCAGGCGAAGCGACAAGUGGUACCGCUGGUACCACCCACGGGGGCCUUGUGCCCAAGCCGUGGUGGCGCAUGGUAACUAUACACGUGGCGGUCAUCGACAUUGCUUUGUGCCGGCGCGCAGCACCCAGGAUGUGCGGCGAUCGCUGAAAUGCAGUUGUGGGGUCCACACUCAUAUGGCACCCACGCCCCACACAGCACUGAUGCAGGGCUCCUGCAGCCGUCACGCCAUGGGAAUCAGCAUAUGGGCAGUGGCCUGUGCAUACUUCUCUGUGGCCUGGCGGGGCAUCUGGCCAGGGCGUUUGACUAGCGGCAUGGGGCCUGCACGCCGGUAGGGGGGCGCAGGCCCAAAAUGAUGCAAGGAAGCUGAUGUGUUGCGUGAGGUGCGCAGCGGUUCCUGAUGGACGUGGGUGCUUUCAUGCGUAUGUAUAUUGGCUAUGUGUGUUGAUCUUUGCACCAGGGUGGUGUCGCCGCGCAGCGGAGCAUUGGUGUUGGUGCACGGGGCGUGAACAUUGGGGCCCGCAGUUGGGAUCGCGCCGGCACGGUCGCGGGCACCGCUGAAGAUAUGUUGGCGCGACCGGUCGCUUAUGGUGCACGCUAAUACCCGCAUACUGUGUGUAAGCACCGAUUGCAAUUAUAAGUUGCGCAUGUAGAUAUCGGUCUUCUCCCGACAUGCGCUCUGAUGACGGUUCCAUUUCCGCCAACUUAGGGUGAGAGUUAAGAGCCGGAGCCCUGUUGCCACCUGCAAAAUGCCUUAGCAACAUGUGGCAACUAUCUGCCCGAAGCAAGUUGCAAGCCAGCCCAGUUCAGGUUGCCACAUGCCAUGCUGGGUAUUCCCAGCGCGCUAGCGCACCUGCUUGGGCAGCUCGCUAUGGCUGCCGUCGACAGUUGACCCUGGUAUGCCAUCGCUAGAGUCGCAGCCCGCUCCGGCCAACCUCGCUCCUCCGCAACCGACACACGAACCCGACGUCUGACGUGGAAAUGGAUCUGGGGGACUGCGGGGUUUUGGGGUGUGUUGGGUUGGUGGCGUGAAGGGUGUGAUUUGUGAGGAAUUUAUCGAUGCAUGCCAAGUUGCACGCCUUUCCCCUGUGUUUCCUACAUGCCCCUGAACCCUCCCUUUGCUGGCUGCAGGCGAAGCGACAAGUGGUACCGCUGGUACCACCCACGGGGGCCUUGUGCCCAAGCCGUGGUGGCGCAUGGUAACUAUACACGUGGCGGUCAUCGACAUUGCUUUGUGCCGGCGCGCAGCACCCAGGAUGUGCGGCGAUCGCUGAAAUGCAGUUGUGGGGUCCACACUCAUAUGGCACCCACGCCCCACACAGCACUGAUGCAGGGCUCCUGCAGCCGUCACGCCAUGGGAAUCAGCAUAUGGGCAGUGGCCUGUGCAUACUUCUCUGUGGCCUGGCGGGGCAUCUGGCCAGGGCGUUUGACUAGCGGCAUGGGGCCUGCACGCCGGUAGGGGGGCGCAGGCCCAAAAUGAUGCAAGGAAGCUGAUGUGUUGCGUGAGGUGCGCAGCGGUUCCUGAUGGACGUGGGUGCUUUCAUGCGUAUGUAUAUUGGCUAUGUGUGUUGAUCUUUGCACCAGGGUGGUGUCGCCGCGCAGCGGAGCAUUGGUGUUGGUGCACGGGGCGUGAACAUUGGGGCCCGCAGUUGGGAUCGCGCCGGCACGGUCGCGGGCACCGCUGAAGAUAUGUUGGCGCGACCGGUCGCUUAUGGUGCACGCUAAUACCCGCAUACUGUGUGUAAGCACCGAUUGCAAUUAUAAGUUGCGCAUGUAGAUAUCGGUCUUCUCCCGACAUGCGCUCUGAUGACGGUUCCAUUUCCGCCAACUUAGGGUGAGAGUUAAGAGCCGGAGCCCUGUUGCCACCUGCAAAAUGCCUUAGCAACAUGUGGCAACUAUCUGCCCGAAGCAAGUUGCAAGCCAGCCCAGUUCAGGUUGCCACAUGCCAUGCUGGGUAUUCCCAGCGCGCUAGCGCACCUGCUUGGGCAGCUCGCUAUGGCUGCCGUCGACAGUUGACCCUGGUAUGCCAUCGCUAGAGUCGCAGCCCGCUCCGGCCAACCUCGCUCCUCCGCAACCGACACACGAACCCGACGUCAGACGUGGAAAUGGAUCUGGGGGACUGCGGGGUUUUGGGGUGUGUUGGGUUGGUGGCGUGAAGGGUGUGAUUUGUGAGGAAUUUAUCGAUGCAUGCCAAGUUGCACGCCUUUCCCCUGUGUUUCCUACAUGCCCCUGAACCCUCCCUUUGCUGGCUGCAGGCGAAGCGACAAGUGGUACCGCUGGUACCACCCACGGGGGCCUUGUGCCCAAGCCGUGGUGGCGCAUGGUAACUAUACACGUGGCGGUCAUCGACAUUGCUUUGUGCCGGCGCGCAGCACCCAGGAUGUGCGGCGAUCGCUGAAAUGCAGUUGUGGGGUCCACACUCAUAUGGCACCCACGCCCCACACAGCACUGAUGCAGGGCUCCUGCAGCCGUCACGCCAUGGGAAUCAGCAUAUGGGCAGUGGCCUGUGCAUACUUCUCUGUGGCCUGGCGGGGCAUCUGGCCAGGGCGUUUGACUAGCGGCAUGGGGCCUGCACGCCGGUAGGGGGGCGCAGGCCCAAAAUGAUGCAAGGAAGCUGAUGUGUUGCGUGAGGUGCGCAGCGGUUCCUGAUGGACGUGGGUGCUUUCAUGCGUAUGUAUAUUGGCUAUGUGCUUCCANNNNNNNNNNNNNNNNNNNNNNNNNNNNNNNNNNNNNNNNNNNNNNNNNNNNNNNNNNNNNNNNNNNNNNNNNNNNNNNNNNNNNNNNNNNNNNNNNNNNUGCCUUAGCAACAUGUGGCAACUAUCUGCCCGAAGCAAGUUGCAAGCCAGCCCAGUUCAGGUUGCCACAUGCCAUGCUGGGUAUUCCCAGCGCGCUAGCGCACCUGCUUGGGCAGCUCGCUAUGGCUGCCGUCGACAGUUGACCCUGGUAUGCCAUCGCUAGAGUCGCAGCCCGCUCCGGCCAACCUCGCUCCUCCGCAACCGACACACGAACCCGACGUCACUUGAUCCCACAAUUCCAGCGACUUUUGCGACCGGCUCUCCACCGACCGCUUGGAUGCUUGCGCCCGGUCGCUGCCCCAGCUACUUCCGCGGUGAAAUAACAACGGUGAGCAC